RNAcentral lists this ribosomal RNA (433 nucleotides) under uncultured microorganism. RNAcentral describes it as "bacterial SSU rRNA". It matches the Rfam family "Bacterial small subunit ribosomal RNA", at positions 346 to 768 of the family's 1533-position model. The record is from RNAcentral.
GUGCAGCAGUCACGAAUAGUCUACAAUGGACGAAAGUCUGAUAGUGCGACGCCGUGUGUGCGAUUAAUUCCUUCGGGAUGUAAAGCACUUUUCUAUGAGAUAAAAGCUCUUUAGGUUAAUAGCUUAUUGAGACGGAUAUUAUUAUAGGAAUAAGCUCCGGCUAACUCCGUGCCAGCAGCCGCGGUAAUACGGAAGGAGCGAGCGUUGUCCGGAUUUACUAGGCGUAAAGGGCUAGUAGGCGACUAAUUAAGUUAUAUGUUAAAUCCCACGGCUCAACUGUGGUCCUGCAUGUAAUACUGGUUAGAUAGAGUACUGUAGAGGAAGGCAGAAUUCCUGGGAGUAGCGGUGGAAUGCGCAGAUAUCAGGAAGAAUACCAAGAGCGAAGGCAGCCUUCUGGGCAGUUACUGACGCUGAAUAGCGAAGGUGUGGGUAG